GACGAACGCUGGCGGCGUGCUUAACACAUGCAAGUCGAACGGAAAGGCCCUGCUUUUGUGGGGUGCUCGAGUGGCGAACGGGUGAGUAACACGUGAGUAACCUGCCCUUGACUUUGGGAUAACUUCAGGAAACUGGGGCUAAUACCGGAUAGGAGCUCCUGCUGCAUGGUGGGGGUUGGAAAGUUUCGGAGGGUGGGGAUGGACUCGCGGCUUAUCAGCUUGUUGGUGGGGUAGUGGCUUACCAAGGCUUUGACGGGUAGCCGGCCUGAGAGGGUGACCGGCGACAUUGGGACUGAGAUACGGCCCAGACUCCUACGGGAGGCAGCAGUGGGGAAUAUUGCACAAUGGGCGGAAGCCUGAUGCAGCAGCGCCGCGUGCGGGAUGACGGCCUUCGGGUUGUAAACCGCUUUCGCCUGUGACGAAGCGUGAGUGACGGUAAUGGGUAAAGAAGCACCGGCUAACUACGUG
This 468-nucleotide ribosomal RNA is filed under the name uncultured bacterium. RNAcentral describes it as "partial 16S ribosomal RNA". It matches the Rfam family "Bacterial small subunit ribosomal RNA", at positions 28 to 507 of the family's 1533-position model. The record is from RNAcentral.